GACGAACGCUGGCGGCGUGCUUAACACAUGCAAGUCGAACGGAAAGGCCCUGCUUUUGUGGGGUGCUCGAGUGGCGAACGGGUGAGUAACACGUGAGUAACCUGCCCUUGACUUUGGUAUAACUUCAGGAAACUUGGGCUAAUACCGGAUAGGAGCUCCUGCUGCAUGGUGGGGGUUGGAAAGUUUCGGCGGUUGGGGAUGGACUCGCGUCUUAUCAGCUUGUUGGUGGGGUAGUGGGUUACCAAGGCUUUGACGGGUAGCCGGCCUGAGAGGGUGACCGGCGACAUAGGGAGAGAGAGACGGCGCAGACUCCUAUGGGAGGCAGAAGUGGGGAAAAUUGUAGAAAGGGCGGAAGACUGAGGCAGAGAAGUUGUGUGCGGGAGGAGGGGGUUCGGGGUGUAAAAAGCGUUCGCAUGUGAGGAAGAGGGAGUGACGGUAAUGGGUAAAGAAGCAACGGCUAAAUACGUG
Molecule: ribosomal RNA, 468 nt
Filed under: uncultured bacterium
Lineage: Bacteria
Description: partial 16S ribosomal RNA
Rfam family: Bacterial small subunit ribosomal RNA
Source: RNAcentral